GGGCGAUUAGCUCAGCGGUAGAGCGAAGCAUUCACACUGCUUAGGUCGGGGGUUCGACACCCUCAUCGCCCACCA
RNAcentral lists this transfer RNA (75 nucleotides) under Ramlibacter sp. Its description in RNAcentral is "tRNA-Val". It matches the Rfam family "tRNA". Rfam says of the family: Transfer RNA (tRNA) molecules are approximately 80 nucleotides in length. Their secondary structure includes four short double-helical elements and three loops (D, anti-codon, and T loops). Further hydrogen bonds mediate the characteristic L-shaped molecular structure. tRNAs have two regions of fundamental functional importance: the anti-codon, which is responsible for specific mRNA codon recognition, and the 3' end, to which the tRNAs corresponding amino acid is attached (by aminoacyl-tRNA synthetases). tRNAs cope with the degeneracy of the genetic code in two manners: having more than one tRNA (with a specific anti-codon) for a particular amino acid; and 'wobble' base-pairing, i.e. permitting non-standard base-pairing at the 3rd anti-codon position. Lineage: Bacteria; Pseudomonadati; Pseudomonadota; Betaproteobacteria; Burkholderiales; Comamonadaceae. The record is from RNAcentral.